RNAcentral lists this ribosomal RNA (276 nucleotides) under uncultured bacterium. RNAcentral's name for it is "partial 16S ribosomal RNA". It matches the Rfam family "Bacterial small subunit ribosomal RNA", at positions 78 to 353 of the family's 1533-position model. The record is from RNAcentral.
UCUAAGUUUGAUGGCGACCGGCGCACGGGUGAGUAACACGUAUCCAACCUGCCGAUGACUCGGGGAUAGCCUUUCGAAAGAAAGAUUAAUACCCGAUGGCAUAGUUCUUCCGCAUGGUGGAACUAUUAAAGAAUUUCGGUCAUCGAUGGGGAUGCGUUCCAUUAGGCAGUUGGCGGGGUAACGGCCCACCAAACCGACGAUGGAUAGGGGUUCUGAGAGGAAGGUCCCCCACAUUGGUACUGAGACACGGACCAAACUCCUACGGGAGGCAGCAUG